GACGAACGCUGGCGGCGUGCCUAAUACAUGCAAGUAGAACGCUGAAGAGAGGAGCUUACUCUUCUUGGAUGAGUUGCGAACGGGUGAGUAACGCGUAGGUAACCUGCCUUGUAGCGGGGGAUAACUAUUGGAAACGAUAGCUAAUACCGCAUAACAAUGGAUGACACAUGUCAUUUAUUUGAAAGGGGCAAUUGCUCCACUACAAGAUGGACCUGCGUUGUAUUAGCUAGUAGGUGAGGUAAUGGCUCACCUAGGCGACGAUACAUAGCCGACCUGAGAGGGUGAUCGGCCACACUGGGACUGAGACACGGCCCAGACUCCUACGGGAGGCAGCAGUAGGGAAUCUUCGGCAAUGGGGGCAACCCUGACAGAGCAACGCCGCGUGAGUGAAGAAGGUUUUCGGAUCGUAAAGCUCUGUUGUAAGUCAAGAACGGGUGUGAGAGUGGAAAGUUCACACUGUGACGGUAGCUUACCAGAAAGGGACGGCUAACUACGUG
Molecule: ribosomal RNA, 497 nt
Filed under: uncultured bacterium
Lineage: Bacteria
Description: partial 16S ribosomal RNA
Rfam family: Bacterial small subunit ribosomal RNA
Source: RNAcentral